CCUACGGGGGGCUGCAGUGGGGAAUAUUGGGCAAUGGGGGCAACCCUGAUCCAGCCAUGCCGCGUGUGUGAAGAAGGCCCUCGGGUUGUAAAGCACUUUCAGUGAGGAAGAACGCCUGGUGGUUAAUACCCAUCAGGAAAGACAUCACUCACAGAAGAAGCACCGGCUAACUCCGUGCCAGCAGCCGCGGUAAUACGGAGGGUGCGAGCGUUAAUCGGAAUUACUGGGCGUAAAGCGCGCGUAGGUGGCUUGAUAAGCCGGUUGUGAAAGCCCCGGGCUCAACCUGGGAACGGCAUCCGGAACUGUCAAGCUAGAGUGCAGGAGAGGAAGGUAGAAUUCCCGGUGUAGCGGUGAAAUGCGUAGAGAUCGGGAGGAAUACCAGUGGCGAAGGCGGCCUUCUGGACUGACACUGACACUGAGGUGCGAAAGCGUGGGUAGCAAACAGGAUUAGAUACCCGUGUAGUC
This 465-nucleotide ribosomal RNA is filed under the name Vreelandella stevensii. Its description in RNAcentral is "partial 16S ribosomal RNA". It matches the Rfam family "Bacterial small subunit ribosomal RNA", at positions 338 to 795 of the family's 1533-position model. Lineage: Bacteria; Pseudomonadati; Pseudomonadota; Gammaproteobacteria; Oceanospirillales; Halomonadaceae. The record is from RNAcentral.